AGAGUUUGAUCAUGGCUCAGAUUGAACGCUGGCGGCAUGCCUUACACAUGCAAGUCGAACGGCAGCACGGGGGCAACCCUGGUGGCGAGUGGCGAACGGGUGAGUAAUACAUCGGAACGUGUCCUGUUGUGGGGGAUAACCCACCGAAAGGUGAGCUAAUACCGCAUGACCUGGAAACAGUAAAGCGGGGGACCGCAAGGCCUCGCGCGAUUGGAGCGGCCGAUGUCCGAUUAGCUAGUUGGUGGGGUAAAGGCCCACCAAGGCGACGAUCGGUAGCUGGUCUGAGAGGAUGAUCAGCCACACUGGGACUGAGACACGGCCCAGACUCCUACGGGAGGCAGCAGUGGGGAAUUUUGGACAAUGGGGGCAACCCUGAUCCAGCCAUGCCGCGUGAGUGAAGAAGGCCUUCGGGUUGUAAAGCUCUUUCGGUGGGAACGAAACGGUUCGUGCUAACACCACGGACUAAUGACGGUACUCACAGAAGAAGCACCGGCUAACUACGUGCCAGCAGCCGCGGUAAUACGUAGGGUGCGAGCGUUAAUCGGAAUUACUGGGCGUAAAGCGUGCGCAGGCGGUUACUUAAGUCAGGUGUGAAAUCCCUGGGCUUAACCUAGGAAUUGCGCUUUGAGACUGGGUAGCUUGGAGUGCGGCAGAGGGAGGUGGAAUUCCACGUGUAGCAGUGAAAUGCGUAGAGAUGUGGAGGAACACCGAUGGCGAAGGCAGCCUCCUGGGCCAGCACUGACGCUCAUGCACGAAAGCGUGGGGAGCAAACAGGAUUAGAUACCCUAGUAGUCC
Molecule: ribosomal RNA, 795 nt
Filed under: uncultured bacterium
Lineage: Bacteria
Description: bacterial SSU rRNA
Rfam family: Bacterial small subunit ribosomal RNA
Source: RNAcentral